RNAcentral lists this ribosomal RNA (483 nucleotides) under uncultured bacterium. Its description in RNAcentral is "partial 16S ribosomal RNA". It matches the Rfam family "Bacterial small subunit ribosomal RNA", at positions 30 to 507 of the family's 1533-position model. The record is from RNAcentral.
AUUGAACGCUGGCGGCAGGCCUAACACAUGCAAGUCGAGCGGAUGAAGGGAGCUUGCUCCUGGAUUCAGCGGCGGACGGGUGAGUAAUGCCUAGGAAUCUGCCUGGUAGUGGGGGAUAACGUCCGGAAACGGGCGCUAAUACCGCAUACGUCCUGAGGGAGAAAGUGGGGGAUCUUCGGACCUCACGCUAUCAGAUGAGCCUAGGUCGGAUUAGCUAGUUGGUGGGGUAAAGGCCUACCAAGGCGACGAUCCGUACUGGUCUGAGAGGAUGAUCAGUCACACUGGAACUGAGACACGGUCCAGACUCCUACGGGAGGCAGCAGUGGGGAAUAUUGGACAAUGGGCGAAAGCCUGAUCCAGCCAUGCCGCGUGUGUGAAGAAGGUCUUCGGAUUGUAAAGCACUUUAAGUUGGGAGGAAGGGCAGUAAGUUAAUACCUUGCUGCUUUGACGUUACCAACAGAAUAAGCACCGGCUAACUUCGUG